Molecule: long non-coding RNA, 378 nt
Organism: Nicotiana tabacum (common tobacco)
Lineage: Eukaryota; Viridiplantae; Streptophyta; Magnoliopsida; Solanales; Solanaceae
Source: RefSeq, a predicted model, not a curated record
UAGAGAAGAGGAGAAGCUCCAAAAUUGCAGAAUAGACAAAUCUUUUUAAUCAAAGCAACAGAGAAGCUACAAUGAUGACACAAAACACAGAUCUUUUCAAUCAAAGUAGUAGAGAAGCUGCAAAGAUUGCACAAAAGGCAAAUCUUUUCGAAGGCUAGCAGAAGAAAAUUGUGUGUGCUUAUUUUAAAGGGAAGAGAGUUAUGAAGCCGUUAAAGAAUACAAUGCAGAUGGAUGUUGAUCUGGUUAGUUCUGAUUUCGAGCUUAUUGGAGUUUGUUGGUUGGACUUUGAGGCCAUGGGGAUUCACUUAGCCAAGAAAAUAAUUGUGGAUAUCCUCAGCAGGUUACCUGUGCGGUCUCUUCUUCGAUUCAAAUGUGUUU